ACGAACCCUUCGGGGUUAGUGGCGCACGGGUGCGUAACGCGUGGGAACCUGCCUUUAGGUUCGGAAUAACAGUUAGAAAUGACUGCUAAUACCGGAUAAUGUCUUCGGACCAAAGAUUUAUCGCCUUUAGAUGGGCCCGCGUUAGAUUAGAUAGUUGGUGGGGUAAUGGCCUACCAAGUCGACGAUCUAUAGCUGGUCUGAGAGGAUGAUCAGCCACACUGGGACUGAGACACGGCCCAGACUCCUACGGGAGGCAGCAGUGGGGAAUAUUGGACAAUGGGCGAAAGCCUGAUCCAGCAAUGCCGCGUGAGUGAUGAAGGCCUUAGGGUUGUAAAGCUCUUUUACCAGGGAUGAUAAUGACAGUACCUGGAGAAUAAGCUCCGGCUAACUCCGUGCCAGCAGCCGCGGUAAUACGGAGGGAGCUAGCGUUGUUCGGAAUUACUGGGCGUAAAGCGCGCGUAGGCGGCUUUUUAAGUCAGAGGUGAAAUCCCAGGGCUCAACCCUGGAACUGCCUUUGAAACUGGAAAGCUAGAAUAUUGGAGAGGUAAGUGGAAUUCCGAGUGUAGAGGUGAAAUUCGUAGAUAUUCGGAAGAACACCAGUGGCGAAGG
RNAcentral lists this ribosomal RNA (609 nucleotides) under Qipengyuania seohaensis. RNAcentral describes it as "bacterial SSU rRNA". It matches the Rfam family "Bacterial small subunit ribosomal RNA", at positions 66 to 721 of the family's 1533-position model. Lineage: Bacteria; Pseudomonadati; Pseudomonadota; Alphaproteobacteria; Sphingomonadales; Erythrobacteraceae. The record is from RNAcentral.